AUGGCCCUGGUGGCGGCGCACGCCGACAUCCUCGCGUGCGUCCUCGGCCGUCUUGCGCCGCGCAGCCUCGCCACGUGCCGCAGUGUCUGCAAAGGCUGGCGCGCCAUUGUCGACGAUUACCGCCUGCUGCGGACGGACCUCCUCCCGCUCUCGCUCCACGGGAUCUUUUUCAUGGAGGACCUCUGCCCGGACCCUCCAAAGCUCUUCGCAAACCCAUUCACAAAGCGCAGGAUCAGCGACGCAAGCCUUGGUUAUGUCGAGAAUGACGAGGGUUCAUUUAUCAAGAAUCACUGCAACGGGCUUCUCUUGCUCUCCAACCACCUGGUGGUUAACCCGGCGACUCGGCAAUGGGUGCAUUUGCCUCCGCCCCCGCCCCGGUGCACCGGAAUGGAGGACUUCAACGACGACGUGUGCCUUGUUUAUGACCCUACAGUGUCGCCGCACUACGAGGUGCUUCUUAUUCCUUGCGUCUCCUACGGUCUUGAUUCCACAACAAUGUUCACGGAGGAAUCGGAGUGGCCGCCCUCCGCCUACGCAAUACAAGUCUUCUCUUCAAGGACAUGGAGAUGGGAGGAGAGGUCGUUGGUCCGGAGAGGAGAGGCUGCGGGGACCAUCGCCGACAUGGAGCCAUAUAGGGAUUUUGUACACCGUUACGCCGUCUACUGGAAAGGAGCGAUCUAUGUGCAUUGUCAAAAUGACUCCAUUUUACGCAUAAUCUUAUCGGACGGUUCAUAUGAAGUGAUUAAAUCACCAACAGGAAGUAAAAUGGAAGAUUCUACCAAUCUUCAUCUAGGGAAAUCAAAGAAGGGGGUGUACUGCACUUUGAUUUAUAAUGAUAUCUGGGGGGGACUUCAGAUUUGGUUGCUUACUGAAUCAUGUGGUAAAUGGGAGUGGGUGCUAAAGAAUGACAUCAACUUCGCGGCAGCGGUGGCAAAAUUUUCUUGGUUUUCUUGUGAUGAAAACCAAGGACCGUGGAUCUUACAGAAAGGUGAUUGUGAUGAAAAUGUUAAGGAAGCACCAGUGCAAGAUAACUAUGAAUGGGACUUCGACAAUGGUCUAGCAUUGCUCCUCUGCAUCAAUUUCAUACGUACUCUAAAUAUGGAGUCUCCGAGCAAGAGCGCCGGCGAUCAUAUUCAUCGCCCGUCGUCUCUGACUCUGAUUCAAAAGGAAGCAGCAGCCGUACGCACCGAUCAAUCCAUGGCCCUGCCUCUGCCCCUGCCCGACGACAUCCUCGCUUGCGUCCUCGGCCGUCUCGCGCCACCCCAGCCUCGCCGCGUCCCGCUGCAUCUGCAAAGGCUGGUGCGAGCCGACGGCCGCCGUCGGUUGCGGACGGACCUCCUCUCGCUCUCGCUCUACGAGAUCUUUUUCAUGGAGAUGGACGUCCUCUGCGGGGACCCCCCAAAGCUCUUCGCAAACCCGCUGACGAGCCGCAGGAUCGACGCAAACCUUGACUACGUGGAGGAGGAUGUACGCAUCAAGAAUCACUGCAACGGGUUUCUCCUGCUCUCGGGCCACCUGGUGCUCAACCCCGCCACACGACAAUGGGUGCGCUUGCCUCCGCCUCUGCUGUGGUGCACCGUGACCGGGAUGGAGGGCUUCUACAACGUCGUCUGCCUUGCCUUUGACCCCACUAUGUCCCCGGACUUUGAGAUAAGGUUGAAUCUGACGAUAUGA
This 1674-nucleotide ribosomal RNA is filed under the name Triticum aestivum (bread wheat). RNAcentral describes it as "partial small subunit ribosomal RNA". Lineage: Eukaryota; Viridiplantae; Streptophyta; Magnoliopsida; Poales; Poaceae. The record is from RNAcentral.